AUUCAACAGACAGUUGCAGAAUACAGAGAGGCAGUGUGGGAAAAAGAAUGACUCAAAGAGGUUGGUGCUGACCCUGCUGGAACAUGCCCACUGGUGCACACUUGAAUGUCACCACAAGGAGGAACAAGGGCUAAGUGUGGAGAUGGAGGAGACAUAUGGAUGUGUGGGGCUUGCUAGCACAGCCUACUUGAAAACUACUUCAGGAAGGACCAACCCCAGCAGAGAGAGAAUGUCCCAGGGUGAGCUGGGCAUUUUUCAGCAGUGACAAGGAGCCAGAACACUGAGCAAACAGGCAUAACUACAUGAUCCUGGGGAAAGUCCUAUGUUGAAAGGAAAAUGACAGCUGACCAUGGGGACACCCGCAUUCCUGCAGCACCUUCUGCACCCUACCGAGGGCUACAGGCCUGGAUUUCUCCAUCGCGUUGAGUGCCUUGCUGAUCUCCUCAAAAUGGUCCAGGAGAUUUUCCCUGAAAGAGAAGCCACCUCAGACAUUAAGUCCAGGAGAAAAGUAACUCUUGAUGCCCACUCCACCGUGACAACCUGACCGUUGAGCCAAGAGCUAUUGUGGAGGGAUUUCGCAGGGUCGGAGAGGUGUUUGUGUGAACAGGAGUUGCAGAGAAAAGCGGUCAGCCUCUGCUGCCUUCCUUUAUCACCGUUACCAGCCACGGCACCGCCCUGGAGAAAUGCCGACCCCGUUUUCUGGGUCAGAGUUGGUACUUUUCAAAGGGAACCAAGAAUUUUAACACAAGGCUGGGUAAACAUGUGCACGGAGUAAAUGCAGGCUUGGAGCAGAGAUCGACAAAUCCUGCCAAACAGAGCUGCUGUUGGCCCACACUGGGCAGCAGCGCCAUUCUGGGGUCUUGUCCUCCUCUGGCUCUGACUGGUGAUGCCGAGGAGGACACAGCCGUGACCCGUAGUCACCG
Rattus rattus (black rat) is the source of this 923-nucleotide long non-coding RNA. RefSeq lists it as uncharacterized. The record is from RefSeq and is a predicted model, not a curated record. The transcript is spliced from 5 exons. Lineage: Eukaryota; Metazoa; Chordata; Mammalia; Rodentia; Muridae.